This 73-nucleotide transfer RNA is filed under the name Scorpaena neglecta. RNAcentral describes it as "tRNA-Asn". It matches the Rfam family "tRNA". From Rfam's summary of the family: Transfer RNA (tRNA) molecules are approximately 80 nucleotides in length. Their secondary structure includes four short double-helical elements and three loops (D, anti-codon, and T loops). Lineage: Eukaryota; Metazoa; Chordata; Actinopteri; Perciformes; Scorpaenidae. The record is from RNAcentral.
UAGAUGGAUGUUCGCUGGUUAGAACGUUUAGCUGUUAACUAAAAGUUUGCAGGAUCGAGGCCUGCCCAUCUAG